GCCAGACUCCUACGGGAGGCAGCAGUGGGGAAUAUUGCACAAUGGGGGAAACCCUGAUGCAGCGACGCCGCGUGAGCGAGGAAGUAUUUCGGUAUGUAGAGCUCUGUCAGCAGGGAAGAAGAAUGACGGUACCUGAAGAAGAAGCACCGGCUAAAUACGUGCCAGCAGCCGCGGUAAUACGUAUGGUGCAAGCGUUAUCCGGAUUUACUGGGUGUAAAGGGAGCGCAGGCGGUUCUGCAAGUCUGAUGUGAAAGCCCGGGGCUCAACCGCGGGACUGCAUUGGAAACUGCGGGACUGGAGUGUCGGAGGGGUAAGCGGAAUUCCUGGUGUAGCGGUGAAAUGCGUAGAUAUCAGGAGGAACACCGGUGGCGAAGGCGGCUUACUGGACUGUAACUGACGUUGAGGCUCGAAAGCGUGGGGAGCAAACAGGAUUAGAUACCCGGGUA
RNAcentral lists this ribosomal RNA (446 nucleotides) under uncultured bacterium. Its description in RNAcentral is "bacterial SSU rRNA". It matches the Rfam family "Bacterial small subunit ribosomal RNA", at positions 330 to 792 of the family's 1533-position model. The record is from RNAcentral.